This 251-nucleotide long non-coding RNA is filed under the name Elaeis guineensis (African oil palm). RNAcentral describes it as "long non-coding RNA (EGUI_LNC077006)". Lineage: Eukaryota; Viridiplantae; Streptophyta; Magnoliopsida; Arecales; Arecaceae. The record is from RNAcentral.
UACAACGUUGUCACUUGGCAAAUUGUUAUGCAAUAUUUCUAGCUCACAGUCGGCGAAUUCAAGAGGCUCCAGCCGUGGAGAAUUUCUAAUGCUUUCUGGUUCUUUUUUGGAAGGGACUAAUAAAGUGUUACCAAAAUGAGGGGCAGGAUGGUUAAUUCUAAAACUAUGCGAACUGAACAUCCUUGGUGAGCUAAUUGAAGAUUUUCUCAAUAAUCAAAAAGUUCUGUUGUAUACUUUCAGUGUCACACUCU